Molecule: ribosomal RNA, 213 nt
Filed under: uncultured bacterium
Lineage: Bacteria
Description: partial 16S ribosomal RNA
Rfam family: Bacterial small subunit ribosomal RNA
Source: RNAcentral
AACGAACGCUGGCGGCGCGCCUAACACAUGCAAGUCUCACGAGAAACCCUGUAGCAAUACAGGGCGGUAAAGUGGCGAACGGGUGAGUAAUGCGUGGGGUAACCUACCUCCGAGAUGGGGGAUAACCCGCCGAAAGGCGGGCUAAUACCGAAUAAGACCACAUGCCGACAGGCACGGGGUAAAAGGUGGCCUAGGGUCCGCAAGGGGCUAUGC